Molecule: transfer RNA, 76 nt
Filed under: Pseudomonadota bacterium
Lineage: Bacteria; Pseudomonadati; Pseudomonadota
Also listed under: 1 other name
Description: tRNA-Gln
Rfam family: tRNA
About the family: Transfer RNA (tRNA) molecules are approximately 80 nucleotides in length.
Source: RNAcentral
UGGGGAGUGGUGUAGCUGGCAACACGUCUGACUCUGGAUCAGAAGAUCCUAGGUUCGAAUCCUAGCUCCCCAGCCA